CGACAUGUCCAUUAAUUUAUAAUCGAAUUUCGAUCAAAACUCACAAAAACAUAAAACCAACAUUCAGUGUGCAGCCUUAGUUCCAUUUAUCAUUGCAUCGCAUCGAUACUGGACGAAAAUGGAAACUAAUUGAAUAGGAAAAAACAAUGAGUGUUUUUCAGUGGCAUUUCAACAAGCCCAUCCUUGCAGUCCUCUGACAUUUCAUCAGCGUUUCAUUUGACCUUUGCCACUGUAAUUGGAUUGUCAAUCAGGGAUACAUAUAUUUGCAGCUUAAAGGUCUAACAUCAAACACAAUUCUAACCCAUUCUUUAUCAUCUACUCUCCCAUGUAUUCUCUUACUCUCAUUCCCUCCAAAUCAAUUCCAGCGAUAGCCCUUUCAGCGUUGAACCUACCCAAGCAUAAUUCAUUGUCCACUCCCAUGACCUUCGGAUUCCUUUAGCGGACUGCCCUUUAGCGCAUUCCAUGCAACAUGCCCCAAAGGAACUAUAAAUAUGCAGAGGUCAAUCGAUAAUGCCCCAAAGGCAAGCACUGAAAUUAAUAUUUAAAAUAAUUUCCACCUUUAAAUUGCUGGUUUGUCG
Molecule: long non-coding RNA, 578 nt
Filed under: Drosophila guanche
Lineage: Eukaryota; Metazoa; Arthropoda; Insecta; Diptera; Drosophilidae
Source: RNAcentral